This 513-nucleotide ribosomal RNA is filed under the name uncultured Bacillota bacterium. Its description in RNAcentral is "uncultured Firmicutes bacterium partial 16S ribosomal RNA". The record is from RNAcentral. Lineage: Bacteria; Bacillati; Bacillota.
UACCGCGGCUGCUGGCACGUAGUUAGCCGGGGCUUCCUCCUAAGUUACCGUCACUUCUUCUUCUCUUAGGACAGAGCUUUACGACUCGAAAGCCUUCUUCGCUCACGCGGCGUCGCUGCAUCAGAGUUUCCUCCAUUGUGCAAUAUUCCCCACUGCUGCCUCCCGUAGGAGUCUGGACCGUGUCUCAGUUCCAGUGUGGCCGUUCACCCUCUCAGGCCGGCUACCCAUCGUCGCCUUGGUGAGCUUUUAUCUCACCAACUAGCUAAUGGGACGCGAACUCGUCCUGCACCGUUAAAAACUUUAAUAUAUCUAUCAUUCGAUUAAUAUACUUCAUAUGGUAUUAAUCCCGGUUUCCCGAGGCUAUCCCUUUGUGCAGGGUUGAUUAUUCACGCGUUACUCACCCGUCUGCCGCUUUCCAUCUUCCGUUUCACCGAAGUUUCACUUCCGACUUCUCGCUCGACUUGCAUGUGUUAGGCACGCCGCCAGCGUUAAUCCUGAGCCAGGAUCAAACUC